This 301-nucleotide ribosomal RNA is filed under the name uncultured bacterium. RNAcentral describes it as "partial 16S ribosomal RNA". It matches the Rfam family "Bacterial small subunit ribosomal RNA", at positions 509 to 808 of the family's 1533-position model. The record is from RNAcentral.
CAGCCGCCACGGUAAUACAGAGGGUGCAAGCGUUAAUCGGAAUUACUGGGCGUAAAGCGCGCGUAGGUGGUUUGUUAAGUUGGAUGUGAAAGCCCCGGGCUCAACCUGGAACUGCAUCCAAAACUGGCAAGCUAGAGUACGGUAGAGGGUGGUGGAAUUUCCUGUGUAGCGGUGAAAUGCGUAGAUAUAGGAAGGAACACCAGUGGCGAAGGCGACCACCUGGACUGAUACUGACACUGAGGUGCGAAAGCGUGGGGAGCAAACAGGAUUAGAUACCCGCGUAGUCCCUGUCUCUUAUACA